RNAcentral lists this unclassified non-coding RNA (279 nucleotides) under plant metagenome. RNAcentral's name for it is "partial contains small subunit ribosomal RNA, internal transcribed spacer 1, and 5.8S ribosomal RNA". The record is from RNAcentral.
UUUCCGUAGGUGAACCUGCGGAAGGAUCAUUAAAGAGUUCUUGCUCUCACGGGUAGAAAUCCCAUACUCGACUAUUUAUACCUUAGGUGCUUUGGCAGGCCGAGGAAACACCAUGGGCUCCGGAUUAUGCGUGUCUGCUAAUGGAAACAAUUUCUGAUAUAAGUGACGUCUGAGUACUAUAUAAUAGUUAAAAUUUUCAACAACAGAUCUCCUGGUCAUGGCAUCGGUGAAGAACGCAGGAGAUAGGAAGAGUAAACGAUUGAACUCCCGUAUACAGUC